Dermacentor silvarum is the source of this 354-nucleotide long non-coding RNA. RefSeq lists it as uncharacterized. The transcript has 3 exons. The record is from RefSeq and is a predicted model, not a curated record. Lineage: Eukaryota; Metazoa; Arthropoda; Arachnida; Ixodida; Ixodidae.
ACAAAGGAAAUGGAGCAGAUCGUGCAGCGGAAUGGUCGCUCACCCGUGUGGAUGCGUAGGUGUUCCUUGAGGUAGGUUUGUCUUGUAAAGGUCUGAGGGCACAAAUGGCAUUGAAAUGGCCGCUCAGCUGUGUGGCUGCGCACAUGUACCUUGAGCUUGCUGUCAUGUGUAAAAGUCUUAUGGCAAAAAUUGCACUGAAAGGGACGGUCGCCUGUGUGGAUGCGUAGGUGUUCCUUGAAGGUGUCCUUGCGCGGGAACCUCUGAGGGCAAGAAGGGCACUGAAAUGGCUUUUCGCCUGUGUGGAUACGUUGGUGUUCCUUGAGUCUGUUCGCUUGCGAGUAGCUCCGAGGGCAG